AGAGGGAGAAGUUUUGUGUUUAGGUAUGAGGGGAAUGAGAGCUAACCCUAACUCUCCCCUCAUAACAUCCAACCCAUGCUACAAUUGCACUUAAGCCGCUCUCAUUUGUAUUUUUGCAAACAGCCCUUACUGGGCAAAUUUCGAGCUCGGGGACCGGUCUCUCGAGUAAGGGACCGGUUCCCGAGAGCUACCCCGCAGCCCUCGCAGAAGG
This 211-nucleotide long non-coding RNA is filed under the name Ananas comosus (pineapple). Its description in RNAcentral is "long non-coding RNA (ACOM_LNC033390)". The record is from RNAcentral. Lineage: Eukaryota; Viridiplantae; Streptophyta; Magnoliopsida; Poales; Bromeliaceae.